ACGCUCGACACCUACGGUAGGCAGCAGUGGGGAAUAUUGCACAAUGGGGGAAACCCUGAUGCAGCGACGCCGCGUGGAGGAAGAAGGUCUUCGGAUUGUAAACUCCUGUUGUUGGGGAAAAAGAGGAUGGUACCCAACAAGGAAGUGACGGCUAACUACGCGCCAGCAGCCGCGGUAAUCUGAGCGGGCUGGCAAGGC
Molecule: ribosomal RNA, 198 nt
Filed under: uncultured bacterium
Lineage: Bacteria
Description: partial 16S ribosomal RNA
Rfam family: Bacterial small subunit ribosomal RNA
Source: RNAcentral